This 479-nucleotide long non-coding RNA is filed under the name Ananas comosus (pineapple). RNAcentral's name for it is "long non-coding RNA (ACOM_LNC001429)". The record is from RNAcentral. Lineage: Eukaryota; Viridiplantae; Streptophyta; Magnoliopsida; Poales; Bromeliaceae.
CCUCAUGACCCCAUCGUGCAUUCGGAUCUUCACCGUGCCGACUCCCAAAACUUUGCACACCGUCCCGUUCCCCAUUAGAGCUUUUCCACGCUUGAUCGCUUUAUAAAUGACAAAAGACUUUUUUUCCGGACAAACAUGAAAGUAACAUGCUGAAUCGAGCACCCACGCGUCAUCAAAAUUUUUGCACCUCCGGUCGCCGCAUACAGGACAUCAGAAUCCAUCAUCUUCGAUUUCGCUGCCUGCGCCAUCGCUGUUAUAGCCUCGUCUUGGUUCACAACAGUUUUCUCCUUCUGUCACUUUAACUCCUUCAUAUCAUUCUGAAGUUUCCGACAGUUGCGCUUGAUAUGUCCUUUUCUGUGACAGUAAAAGCAUUCUACCUCAAAUAACGGUUUCUUCUGUCGAUUUUCGGUCGCCGAUGUUGUCACCUCCUUCUUCGCUCUCACCACCAAAGCAGUAUCUCGGCUUUGCGUGCCGGCCUC